Molecule: ribosomal RNA, 472 nt
Filed under: Enterococcus hirae
Lineage: Bacteria; Bacillati; Bacillota; Bacilli; Lactobacillales; Enterococcaceae
Description: bacterial SSU rRNA
Rfam family: Bacterial small subunit ribosomal RNA
Source: RNAcentral
UCGAACGCUUCUUUUUCCACCGGAGCUUGCUCCACCGGAAAAAGAGGAGUGGCGAACGGGUGAGUAACACGUGGGUAACCUGCCCAUCAGAAGGGGAUAACACUUGGAAACAGGUGCUAAUACCGUAUAACAAUCGAAACCGCAUGGUUUUGAUUUGAAAGGCGCUUUCGGGUGUCGCUGAUGGAUGGACCCGCGGUGCAUUAGCUAGUUGGUGAGGUAACGGCUCACCAAGGCGACGAUGCAUAGCCGACCUGAGAGGGUGAUCGGCCACAUUGGGACUGAGACACGGCCCAAACUCCUACGGGAGGCAGCAGUAGGGAAUCUUCGGCAAUGGACGAAAGUCUGACCGAGCAACGCCGCGUGAGUGAAGAAGGUUUUCGGAUCGUAAAACUCUGUUGUUAGAGAAGAACAAGGAUGAGAGUAACUGUUCAUCCCUUGACGGUAUCUAACCAGAAAGCCACGGCUAACUACG